GCCUCGGUGGUGUAGUGGCAGCACACGUCCGCGUUAUGGAUAAAACGCGGGUUUAACUCCCGUCUGAGGUC
Molecule: non-coding RNA, 71 nt
Organism: Parelaphostrongylus tenuis
Lineage: Eukaryota; Metazoa; Nematoda; Chromadorea; Rhabditida; Metastrongylidae
Source: the annotation of a GenBank genome assembly